This 30-nucleotide non-coding RNA is filed under the name Mus musculus (house mouse). The record is from RNAcentral. Lineage: Eukaryota; Metazoa; Chordata; Mammalia; Rodentia; Muridae.
UGAAUCAGACAGGAAUGUUAAGGAUGCAGG